GAUUAACGCUGGCGGCGUGCCUAACACAUGCAAGUCGAGCGGCAGCGCGUUUUACACUGAAUUCUGGAAGCUUCUAGUUGAAAGAGAAGAUUUAUUCAAGAAUUUUGUGUAAAAUGUCGGCGAGCGGCGGACGGCUGAGUAACGCGUGGGAACGUACCCCAAAGUGAGGGAUAACGCAUCGAAAGGUGUGCUAAUACCGCAUAUGGUCUUCGGAUUAAAGCCUUCGGGCGCUUUGGGAACGGCCUGCGUAAGAUUAGAUAGUUGGUGGGGUAAUGGCCUACCAAGUCGACGAUCUUUAACUGGUUUGAGAGGAUGAUCAGUCAGACUGGAACUGAGACACGGUCCAGACUCCUACGGGAGGCAGCAGUGAGGAAUCUUCCACAAUAGGCGAAAGCCUGAUGGAGCAACGCCGCGUGCAGGAUGAAGGCCUUCGGGUUGUAAACUGCUUUUAUAAGUGAGGAUUAUGACAGUAACUUAUGAAUAAGGAUCGGCUAACUACGUG
Molecule: ribosomal RNA, 502 nt
Filed under: uncultured bacterium
Lineage: Bacteria
Description: partial 16S ribosomal RNA
Rfam family: Bacterial small subunit ribosomal RNA
Source: RNAcentral